UGGGGAAUAUUGGGCAAUGGGAGGAAUCCUGACCCAGCGACGCCGCGUGAACGAAGACGGCCUUCGGGUUGUAAAGUUCUUUUAUGUGGGAAGAAUGAAGUGACGGUACCACAUGAAUAAGCCCCGGCUAACUACGUGCCAGCAGCCGCGGUAAUACGUAGGGGGCGAGCGUUGUCCGGAAUUACUGGGCGUAAAGGGCACGCAGGCUGUGCUUCAAGUCAGCUGUAAAAGGAUGCGGCUUAACCGUGUUAUGCGGCUGAGACUGAGGUGCUGGAGUACCGGAGAGGCAAGUGGAAUUCCCAGUGUAGCGGUGAAAUGCGUAGAUAUUGGGAAGAACAUCGGUGGCGAAGGCGACUUGCUGGACGGUAACUGACGCUGAGGUGCGAAAGCCAGGGUAGCGAACGGGAUUAGAUACCCCGGUAGUCCUGGCUGUAAACGAUGAAUGCUAGGUGUGCGAGCAGAGAUGUUGGUGUGCCGCAGUUAACGCGAUAAGCAUUCCGCCUGGGGAGUACGGUCGCAAGAUUG
Molecule: ribosomal RNA, 525 nt
Filed under: uncultured bacterium
Lineage: Bacteria
Description: bacterial SSU rRNA
Rfam family: Bacterial small subunit ribosomal RNA
Source: RNAcentral